RNAcentral lists this ribosomal RNA (274 nucleotides) under uncultured bacterium. RNAcentral describes it as "partial 16S ribosomal RNA". It matches the Rfam family "Bacterial small subunit ribosomal RNA", at positions 523 to 796 of the family's 1533-position model. The record is from RNAcentral.
AUACGGAGGGUGCAAGCGUUGUGCGGAUUUAUUGGGCGUAAAGCGAGUGUAGGCGGUUUGGCAAGUCGAAUGUGAAAUCCCGAGGCCCAACCUCGGAACUGCAUCCGAAACUGUCAGGCUAGAGUCCCGGAGAGGGUGGCGGAAUUCCCGGUGUAGGGGUGAAAUCCGUAGAUAUCGGGAGGAACACCAGUGGCGAAGGCGGCCACCUGGACGGUGACUGACGCUGAGACUCGAAAGUGUGGGUAGCAAACAGGAUUAGAUACCCUUGUAGUCC